Non-coding RNA from Lactuca sativa (garden lettuce), 2100 nucleotides. The record is from RefSeq and is a predicted model, not a curated record. NCBI's taxonomy places the organism in Eukaryota, Viridiplantae, Streptophyta, Magnoliopsida, Asterales, Asteraceae.
UUUCUUCUCUCUCUCUCUCUCUCUCUCCUUGAAAGUGGUUUACGUUUAAAAAUUGAUGACUAAUUUGGUACUUUCAGGGUAAUUUCUGAAUUGAUCUCUUUCUCAUCCGUUACUAUCCCCUUCUUUACCCUAACUUGCUGUCCAUCCCCGCCACCACUCAUCGAUGCUGACCACCACAACACUCAUCAAUGCAACCACCAGUAAAACCCAUUCCAAUCGGAUUACCGAGGAGAAAAAUCCUGAAUAUCUGAUUCCAAAAAAGGGGUAUAAAUGUCUCAAUUUUGUAUUAUGAAAGAGAUGCUUGCUGGUCGGCCUCAACGGACCAUUACAUAUAUUACAUGCAACUUCAUUAUCAUGUCUAUCCAAUUUUAUUAUCAGUACAAAUAAGGUUGGAAGAUCCUUGCAAUAAUGGAACAAUAUAGAGUUACUGAUUAAUCGUGUUAAUGAGAGCAGCACAGUUGACACAUAAUUGUUUAUAAGGUUGUUGCAGGUAUUGCCUUACAUCAUCAUCUAGCCUUUGGUAUUGAAGUUGUUGGUUUGUAUCAAGGUCCCUCAUCAGUGGUUUCUGAUGUGGGGUUCGAAAGAAAUUUGAUUAUGUAUGGGUGUGAAUCUGCUCCUUUAUAGGCACGACUACUUUCUAUUGGAAGAGGUAAACCUGAAUUUCUUUCCUCUUCCAACCCUUCUCACUUUCUCAUUCGAUCAAUUUAAUUAUAAAUUUCUUACUUUGUUUAUUUGUUUUUUGUUUUUUUUUUUUUAAUUUCAGUUUUUUUGUGUUUUUUCUCCUGAUAUGCACAUUUUGCUAUAAAGUAAUCUGCAAAUAAAGAUUUGAAAUCUGGGUAUAAUUGUAUAAGUUUUGUAAUCUUUAUGUAUUUUUUUAUCCACUCAUUACUUGAAAACCAAGAAUACAUCUCUGAAAAUUAUUUACUUUGUGUGCUUUUGGAAUGGAUCUAAUUAAGUUUGAGCAGGAAAAUUGACAGUUCUGCAUGUUUUUUCAUAUUGUUGUAGUGGUGUUUAUGAGAACUUUUUGAUAAUAUUUGGAGAGGUACGUACUUUUACUUUAUUAUAUUCAUAUAUACUAUAACAAUAUAUUUAAUAUUAGAAAUGGCCCAUUUGUAGGUUAUAGACAAUUUUAAAAAAUUCAUCAUACGUUUGUGAAUUGGAUAAGUUACCUGUUAUGCGAUAAUGAUCAUAAGAGGAUCCGAUGAUUUGGUGGGAAGGCAUGCUAUAUGGUAAAUAUAUUACUGUAAAAAUUUAUUUUUCUUAGUUAUGUUUCCUAUAGAAAGUAAAUAUAUUUUGAAGAGACUAUAGAUAUGUUAUAUCCGUUUCUUACGCUUUGAUAUAAUGGUGUUUCUAUAUUUUUUUUGUAUCUCCUGCACCUAGAAAAGAGAUUUCACUCCUUGGUGUAAUAAUUAUUUAUAUUGAUAGUUGGAUGUUUUAAGAUUCAACUUUGAAGAGAGAGACCAACCUCACACUCUAACACUCUAGGCUGGUCAAAUGUUUCCAAUGUUCAAAUUAAGGGUAAAGACGAUGGUGACUACAUAGAUAAGGAAGCCUUUUUAAAGACGAAACAAUGGUGAUAAUUUUGCAAAUUUCUGGUUUAUGAAUGGAUGAGAAGUAGUGAAUCAAAAUAGUUUGAAUAUGGGGAUACGUCUGGUGGGUGUAACAGGGGUGUGAUAAGGUAAAUUUUAUGUUGUUUAUAUAUUUAGUAGCAAUGAAAUAGUAGUACACUACAAAUUAAUUUUUUUUUUCAAAUAUAAGUAACAAGAAAAGUUUUUAUGUUGGAGGAUGUGGGCUGGCAUGAUGCUCUUGCAAUUCCAUCAAAGAUGAUCAAAAUCAGAUUCUAUGAUCUUACUAAAAAAUAAAAUGGUGUCAAAUACAACAUCAUCAUAAUAGACUCGAUAGAUUGUCAUAAGAUACAUUGACAAUGUUAGCAAUUUAUUACAGUAAAGGAAAGCCAACUUAUAUGUAUUUUUGUGUGGCAAAAGGUUUGAUGAUUUUUAUAGGAAAAAGGAUUAAAUGAAUGUUCAAAGGAACACAUACAUGAAUAUUUGGCAUGGUGAUUGAUUAAAAUUAUCAAAAUUGAAAUCAGCUCUUACUUUU